UCCUCGCUAGUAUAUCGGUUAGUAUAUUCGCCUCUCAUUUGAGAGCUGGUCAAUUCGUUGACUUAAUCGCGAAAGAGCAGGGUUCAACUCCCUGGCGGGGAA
Cutaneotrichosporon oleaginosum is the source of this 102-nucleotide non-coding RNA. The record is from the annotation of a RefSeq genome assembly. NCBI's taxonomy places the organism in Eukaryota, Fungi, Basidiomycota, Tremellomycetes, Trichosporonales, Trichosporonaceae.